CCCUAAUUGGUGAAGAUCACCCCGAGCCCCUAUCGCAAUCUCCUCUCUCGACUCUCUUUCUCAGUUUCUAGUCACUCUCUCCCACGAGCUCAAGAUCUCGUCAGGCUCUCCGUUCCCUGCACUCGCUUCGCCGGCGGCAGAAGCAAACGGAACCGCAUCUGGUCCCUCGGGUGGUGGUGGUGGUCGUCUUCUUGCUUCACACAGUCUCUGUCUCGCACCUGGUCUCGAUCUCUCCCUUCCCUGCGCCCUUCGUCGCCGGUAGCAGAGGCAACAGAUCCCGGUGGGCUGGUCUUCGUUGUCGUCUUCUUGCUUCGAGCCUUGCCGUCAGCUCCUCCUUCGCCAUCAGCUCCUCCUUCGCCGUCAGCUUCCUUCGUGCAACCUGAUUUGUAUGAUCGGGUCAACCGAGUUAAUUAGCGACCUACCGGUUGAACCAGUGAUCCGGUGACUCCGACCGGGCCAAUUACUAGUUCGGUUCUGAUAACUAGUGAUGUUUCCAUUUAUCAUUUCCCAGUCUCCCCCAUUGUUCUGUCCUGAUCCUUUCUCAACAACUAUGGCAACCGGGCUGCUGAGGAGAUCCCUGUCUAGGGUUCCGUCAUCCCCGGCUUCCAAGCUGGCCCUAAUCCGGGCCCACGCAUCAGAGCCUGAAGCCCAGCAGGUCGAUGCCAAGGCCCGCGGCACCUCCACGGUGAAGACGUUCCAAAUCUACCGUUGGAAUCCGGACAGCCCGUCGAAGCCAGAGCUGAAGAACUACGAAAUCAACCUGAAGGAGUGCGGGCCCAUGGUGCUCGAUGCCCUCAUCAAAAUCAAGAACGAGAUCGACCCAACCCUCACGUUCCGCAGGUCGUGCCGGGAGGGGAUCUGUGGUUCUUGCGCGAUGAACAUCGAUGGUUGCAACGGCCUCGCAUGCCUAACGAAGAUCCCUUCGUCCAGCGCGUCGACAAUCACGCCGCUGCCGCAUAUGUUCGUGAUAAAGGAUUUGGUGGUAGAUAUGACUAAUUUCUAUAACCAGUACAUGAGCAUCGAGCCGUGGCUGAAGAGGAAGAACCCACCGACGGUGCCCGGGAAGGAAAUCCUUCAGAGCAAGAAGGACCGCUCCAAGCUUGAUGGGAUGUAUGAGUGUAUACUGUGUGCCUGCUGUAGCACAUCCUGCCCUAGUUACUGGUGGAACCCUGAAUCUUAUUUGGGACCUGCUGCGUUGCUCCACGCUAACAGUGCUGUACAUAUUUAUCAUGAGCUUUGGUAUGAUAAUUGCACAUAAUGCAUGCACAAACUUAUCGUCAUGCCCCACGAAUUAUUAGCUCCCUGCUUUUCUUCUCGUUUGCGUAAGAGGUGGAUAAGUGACAGUCGUGACGAGUACACUCAGGAGAGAUUGGAGGCCAUUAAUGAUGAAUUCAAGCUCUAUCGCUGCCACACCAUAUUGAAUUGUGCUCGCGCCUGCCCAAAGGGUUUGAAUCCCGGAAAGCAAAUCCAACAUAUCAAGUCACUUCAGCCCAAAGCUUGAGAUUCUAAUUUUUAGAGGCAUGAUGGCGUUUGCAUUUGAUCAUUGAUGCUGGGGUUUUGUUUUUCCUUCAUAUGCGGGGAUAAAAUAGCUUUUCUCUUAAUAAAAAGCUGAGCCCCCCUUUUGUAAAACUUGUGUUUUUUGUUUUGGAAUAAAUAUCAAUAGCCAAUUGGACACCAAA
Molecule: RNA transcript, 1679 nt
Organism: Arachis stenosperma
Lineage: Eukaryota; Viridiplantae; Streptophyta; Magnoliopsida; Fabales; Fabaceae
Gene name: succinate dehydrogenase [ubiquinone] iron-sulfur subunit 2, mitochondrial-like
Exons: 4
Source: RefSeq, a predicted model, not a curated record